CCUGACGCAGCGACGCCGCGUGAGGGAUGACGGCCUUCGGGUUGUAAACCUCUUUCAGCAGGGACGAAGCGCAAGUGACGGUACCUGCAGAAGAAGCACCGGCCAACUACGUGCCAGCAGCCGCGGUAAUACGUAGGGUGCGAGCGUUGUCCGGAAUUAUUGGGCGUAAAGGGCUCGUAGGCGGUUUGUCACGUCGGGAGUGAAAACUCAGGGCUCAACCCUGAGCCUGCUUCCGAUACGGGCAGACUAGAGGUAUGCAGGGGAGAACGGAAUUCCUGGUGUAGCGGUGAAAUGCGCAGAUAUCAGGAGGAACACCGGUGGCGAAGGCGGUUCUCUGGGCAUUACCUGACGCUGAGGAGCGAAAGUGUGGGGAGCGAACAGGAUUAGAUACCCUGGUAGUCCACACCGUAAACGUUGGGCGCUAGGUGUGGGACUCAUUCCACGAGUUCCGUGCCGCAGCUAACGCAUUAAGCGCCCCGCCUGGGGAGUACGGCCGCAAGGCUAAAACUCAAAGGAAUUGACGG
Molecule: ribosomal RNA, 524 nt
Filed under: uncultured bacterium
Lineage: Bacteria
Description: bacterial SSU rRNA
Rfam family: Bacterial small subunit ribosomal RNA
Source: RNAcentral